UCCUAAUACAGGGAGGUAGUGACAAGAAAUAACAAUACAGGGCCUUUCGGCUUUGUAAUUGGAAUGAGUUGAGUAUAAACCCCUUUACAAGUAUCAAUUGGAGGGCAAGUCUGGUGCCAGCAGCCGCGGUAAUUCCAGCUCCAAUAGCGUAUAUUAAAGUUGUUGCAGUUAAAAAGCUCGUAGUUGGAUUUCUGCUAAUACUCUAUGUAAAUGCUUUUGCCUUUACAU
This 228-nucleotide ribosomal RNA is filed under the name Cryptosporidium sp. chipmunk genotype II. RNAcentral's name for it is "partial 18S small subunit ribosomal RNA". It matches the Rfam family "Eukaryotic small subunit ribosomal RNA", at positions 449 to 678 of the family's 1831-position model. The record is from RNAcentral. Lineage: Eukaryota; Apicomplexa; Conoidasida; Eucoccidiorida; Cryptosporidiidae.